GACAGGUGGUGCAUUGGUUGUCGUCAGCUCGUGUCGUGAGAUGUUGGGUUAAGUCCCGCAACGAGCGCAACCCCUAUUGCUAGUUACCAUCAUUAAGUUGGGGACUCUAGCGAGACUGCCAGUGAUAAACUGGAGAAGUGGGAUGACGUCAAAUCAUCAUGCCCCUUAUGACCUGGGCUACAAACGUGAUACAAUGGCAGGUACAGAGGGCUGCGAAGCCGCGAGGUGGAGCGAAUCCCAGAAAAACCUGUCUCAGUCCGGAUUGAAGUCUGCAACUCGACUCUAUGAAGUUGGAAUCGCUAGUAAUCGCGGAUCAGCACGCCGCGGUCGAAUACGUUCCCGGGCCUU
This 348-nucleotide ribosomal RNA is filed under the name uncultured Acholeplasma sp. RNAcentral's name for it is "bacterial SSU rRNA". It matches the Rfam family "Bacterial small subunit ribosomal RNA", at positions 1033 to 1382 of the family's 1533-position model. The record is from RNAcentral. Lineage: Bacteria; Bacillati; Mycoplasmatota; Mollicutes; Acholeplasmatales; Acholeplasmataceae.